Molecule: RNA transcript, 1384 nt
Organism: Paramormyrops kingsleyae
Lineage: Eukaryota; Metazoa; Chordata; Actinopteri; Osteoglossiformes; Mormyridae
Gene: triqk
Gene name: triple QxxK/R motif containing
Source: RefSeq, a predicted model, not a curated record
AAAAAGGAUGGGGAAGAAAGAUGCUUCUGCAACCACGUUGCCUGUUGAUCAGUACCGUAAACAGAUCGGAAAACAAGAUUACAAGAAGUCUAAAUCAGCUCUACGCGCAACGAGACUGAAAGCGGAGGCGAAGCGGAAUGCCACGGGGAUGCGGGACACCAUCCUGGUCAUCGUGGCCGUUAUCGUGUUCCUCCUCAGCAUUUACGCCUUCUUCUACCUCAAUCUGAGCACCGAGAUCGACCUGGACGUAGAUGUGGACUGAGCUGCGACUGGCCCGCCUUGCACCAAAUCCACCCUUGACCCCGCCUUUUCUCCGAUCCCCCAGCCUUAUGUACCGAAUGGUCCUUCACCCGAAUACCGGCAAACUGAUGGUGGAUCAUGUGAACUUUGCCCUCAGAGGCCUGGUUGGGCUGUGGCUGGUCAUGCAGAGAUCCAGUCCAGCAUCGUCUGUUUGUGCACGGUUUGAAAUGGUUCCGUGGAUUUGGGUUCCUCCAGGGGUCUGGCACUGGGGCUAUAGGGCCAGGGCCCGGUGCUGUCCAGCAGGACGUGAGUAAAUCUGUUAUGAUGCCCGAUGUCCCCGUUGCAGCUGGGGGACGUUCACACCUCGCUACACUCAUUAGUGACAACAGGUUGUGUCAGGCAGCAGGAGUGUCACUGGCAGAGGAGAAGUAUUAUCCAGCUUACUGAUGUGCCGUCGUGUUAAUCUGUCUAGGUGCCACCAUGAUCAUUAUGCUUUAAAGCUUCAUUCAGAUGGUACCUUUUCCCUGUCUGAUUUAAGGUUCCACCUGCAUAAGAGAAGCAGCUUUGGAUCAGAUCUAAGGUUCCACCUCCAUAUAAGAAGCAGCUUCACACCUGAUCUAACUUCCUGCCUACAUAUGGGAAGCAACUUUGGACCUGAUCUUAGGUCCUAGUUUUAGGCUGGUGUGUGCAGCUGACCCUCGGAAUCCAUGCAGAUAUCCCAAUAUGAAUUGAUGAUGCUGCCCCUUUUGGUAGGUUUUUCUUAAGUCAAUGAAAAGACCUGGUUUCACUGCAUUUGCUGAGCGCCUUUGAUGGUCAGAGCUUCUCCAGUGGGCUGCCACAAAGCUGCAUCACUGGAUCUACGCCCUCCCUGGACAUUGGCCGCUACCAAAUUAUGGAUGUUGCACAUGCCAUGCUAUAAAGGGAAUGUAAGAACACGAAGAUCUGAAGGUCUUGUAUAUUUUCAAGGUAAUGUGAAAAAACGGUUUGUGGUGUUUAAGCCUGAUAAGCGAGAGUGGAAGCUAAGGGAAUAUCCUGUUCCCAUUUAAGAAAUGUCAGACUCUCGGAUAUUUCCUGUUUCCUCCUUUCUCUGUCUGUGAUGGUCCUGUUGGCUUGAAUAUUAAACGUUCGGCUUGAAGAAACUGAA